GGGCCCGCACAAGCAGCGGAGCGUGUGGUUUAAUUCGAUGCAACGCGAAGAACCUUACCUGGGCUUGACAUGUACGUAGUAGUGAAGGGAAACCGGAACGAGCCUUCGGGCAGCGUAGACAGGUGCUGCAUGGCUGUCGUCAGCUCGUGUCGUGAGAUGUUGGGUUAAGUCCCGCAACGAGCGCAACCCGUGUUGCUAGUUACAAGUGUCUAGCGAGACUGCCGGUAACAAGCCGGAGGAAGGUGCGGAUGAUGUCAAGUCAGCAUGGCCUAUAUGUCCAGGGCUACACACACGCUACAAUGGCUGGUACAAAGAGAAGCGAAAGGGAGACCUGAAGCGAAUCUCAUCAAAGCCAGUCAUAGUUCGGAUUGCAGGCUGCAACUCGCCUGCAUGAAGUCGGAGUUGCUAGUAACCGCAGGUCAGCAAUACUGCGGUGAAUACGUUCCCGGGCCUUGUACACAC
RNAcentral lists this ribosomal RNA (462 nucleotides) under uncultured bacterium. RNAcentral describes it as "bacterial SSU rRNA". It matches the Rfam family "Bacterial small subunit ribosomal RNA", at positions 917 to 1390 of the family's 1533-position model. The record is from RNAcentral.